This 2219-nucleotide long non-coding RNA is filed under the name Lupinus angustifolius (narrow-leaved blue lupine). Its description in RNAcentral is "long non-coding RNA (LANG_LNC002690)". Lineage: Eukaryota; Viridiplantae; Streptophyta; Magnoliopsida; Fabales; Fabaceae. The record is from RNAcentral.
GGGGAUACACUGAUUUUGGGACAGGUGAUCCCCAUUCCAUGAAUGUAAGUGGAAAAUAUUAUAUAUAGGGUAAGAAGUUGUCAAUGGUUUUUUACAUAAAAAAAGAGAAGUUUAUUAGAAGGAGCAAUUGUUAUUUUCAAACUAAUCUGGAACUGACACAUGAAGGCCAGAUGUUGAAAGCAUAUAAUGCCACAUCCAAAUGUAAUGAUAAAAGAAUAGAAACUUCAAAGGCCAUCAAUGGUGAAGGUAACCAGCAUAUGUAUAGUAUCAACAGGUGUAAUGGCAUUUUGAGUAAUGCAAUCAUGCAAUAAGCAUUAGAUAGGAACUGUAUUUCAUACGUUAUCUUUCAUACAAUUAAAAUUGCAGCAUUGGAACCACAUAGGUAUGUAGUGUUGAGCUUCAUUGUACCCAAAAAAAUUCAUUAUCGUCCAACAUUUCACUUGUUUAAUAUUGUUUACAUCCAUUAUCAAUAGACCUUAUACAAAUGCUUCUCACUCUCUCUGUAGCAAAGCAUAUUUCAAACUGUCCCUUGCUAUUGUUUCAGCAGGAUUUCUUGGCUGAGUUGGCCCUACACAUUUCAGGUGCAACCACAAUUGGCACAGCAUGCUAGCUCAACAUAGUUUUGCAACAUUUUAUCUGUGCUAUUACCAUGUCUAAGCUACAUUCUUGAACUUGGCCAAAAAAUCUCCAUAGAUUAAAUUAGUAAGGAGAAUGAUAAAAAUUAGGCAUGUCUCUAAUAUAGUGUCUGGUAUAAUAAUUAUAAGAUAAAUGAGAUUUCAAUAUUUCUUCUUCGAAUAUAUUGACUUAACCCUACAAGUGGGACUACCCCCAUAGCAUGUUACCGCUAGAAGUGGAACUCGGUACGCAUGUUACCACUAGAAGUAGAACUCGGUAUUUCUUCUAGAGAAUCUCCUGAUUAUUCUGAACAACUAGAAAUAAAUUCCUUUAUUAGAAAGAAUUCAGUCCUGACGUAGGAUAAGUAUCUAAAAGUUUUUGCAUCAUUAAAGAUUCAUCAUUGAUUGAUAUAUUAUGAUCAUGGUCUCAUUUUGUCUGAUUCUGUUGCAAACUUAUAUUUGAUGAAUAGGAUUGAGACCAAUGAGCAUUGGAAAAAACUCUGGUUCGAGGCCUGAGCACCUCCUAGAAGAGAAAAGAGAGGGAGAGACUAGAUAACUUCAUGCUUGUUUCAUUCAUUAAUUCUUCAAGGUAUUUAAACAUAAAUUACACUGUUAAAAGGUGCCUAAUAUAAUAACAAUUUAGCAACAAUUCUGGUGUGGCAACUGCAAAUACUAUUGCUUCCAUUCUAAUAUUCUAUACAGUUCUAUAUAUGUGUUUGCAAAUACAGAGUAUUUCUGUUUACCAAUCGUGUUAUAUUUCUUUGACAUCAAUGCUGAUUUGGUCAAGCUUCAAUAACUCCAUCUUUCUUAUGUAUUCUACAUAUUAUUUUUCCAUUCUUUAUUUAUUUAUUUUAGUGAAUCAUAUACUAAAAUCCUGAUGGUUUCUGUAAUUAAUAUAAACAUAACUUUUUUAUUACACCAAACUGAUGCAGUUAAAUAAUAACAUAAACUAUGGUUGUUUAAAAAGAACAACAAAAAAACCAACUUUGAACCUAUGGUUUAAAGCUAAAUUGUGUUACAUUGCAAUAAGACCUUAUGCACAACAUGGUUACAACAAGUUCAAGAGAGAGGAGGAAAAGCAAAAGCAGGACUAGUUUAUUGAAAAAAAAAUCUUGGAUCAACAACCUUAGCAGCUGCAAAGUUGAAGGACAUCCUCAAACCUCUUCUUCUCUAUGGCAGAAUGAUCAACCACACAACAUGUCUGAAUCUGAUUGUUGUCUAAACCUUCUUUGGAGAUGGGAUUGAAUUUGGCAACCAUUUUAAGUACUGGGCUUUUCAACCCAAAAUAAGGUGUUGCAGAUGGUGAUGAAGGUUGCAUAAUCACUGAUGGGUUAUGUGUUUUGCUAUUGUGAGAAAGCAUGAGCAUUGCUGCUGUUGGUGCCAUUGACAAGACCAAAGUUUCAAGCAGUAUAGGGAAGAUUCAACAUUCAAGAAUGUGUUAAUUUCCAUAUAUAGGGACUAGGGAGAGAGAUAUGUAGCCUCAAACACUUCUGUGGGCGUUCCUUUACCAGUUUCUCUUGAGGAGUGCAAAACCAAAGGGCCUUAAAACCAUGGGAAAUGGAAACUAUUGCCUACCCUUUUCUUUGUACCUAUCCAUUAACAAAC